Molecule: long non-coding RNA, 1011 nt
Organism: Myotis myotis
Lineage: Eukaryota; Metazoa; Chordata; Mammalia; Chiroptera; Vespertilionidae
Exons: 4
Source: RefSeq, a predicted model, not a curated record
CCUUGGAGCUCUCCGAGAUGAAUGGGAAGAUUCCAUGUGCUAAUCUCAUUUCCAAAUGUAAUUGGCACCUGAAUUACGAAGCUCUGCUUCCAAAGGCUGCACUCACAGAGCCAUCCAUCCUCCCUCCAUCGAGGUGGGCCAGCGUGGCCCUGUGAUGCAUGUUCACUGCUCCAGCCACGGAGAAGUAGUGGAGCUGCUACAACCUUUUGGAGGGCAACUUGGCACCAAAAGCAUCUGAACGGACAAACUUUCCUUGUAGUGUGAUGGAGUAAGCAGAAGGCUUGAAUCUAUGCUACUCCCUGUGUGGCCAUGGCUCUCAUUGGAUCAACCCAACCAGAAGUCAGAGGGCAAAGGAGUCCAGGUGAUACAGUUUGUAGAGUUCAGCUUCCAGAGGAACAAAGUAGAGCAUCAAGAAGCAGAAAUGAAUGAAGGAGAAGAAAUAGCACGCUGAAUAUGGGCCUGUAGAAGACUGCAAUUCCAAAAAUGACCACAGCAAUAUUUCUGGUCUCCCAUGGUCUUCUUGAUAUUGCCACGCCCCAUCACAAGGUGAGUCUAUUUUUCCUCCCCUUGAACCUGGGGAGGGCUUUGUGAUUGCUUGGACAGGGAGAAUGUGGCAAAGUGAUGCUGCAUGACUUCAAAACUAGGUCAUCAAAGGCAAUAUGGCUCUGCCCAGAAAUCUCUCUUUCUUGGGAUGCUCACGUUAUGAGGAAACCCAGGUCACAUGAAGAGGCCGCGUGCAAGUGCUCCGGCUGAUUGCCCAGCUGAGGUCCCAGCUGACAGUGUUAACUGCCAGGUAAGCGAAAAAAUGAGCUUCCAGAUGAUUCCGGCUUCCAGCAUCCGAGUGACCUCCACUGGAGCAGACAAUUACUAGUAUCCUCACAAAGCCCUGCCUGAAUCGAAGAUUCAUGAGCAAAAUAACUGUUUUUAUUUUAUUUUAUUAAAGCCACUGGGAUUUUGAAAAACUUGUUAUAUAGCCAUAAUAAGCAGAACAGAGGCAGUAUUAGGGAGUUA